Molecule: ribosomal RNA, 322 nt
Filed under: Kryptoperidinium foliaceum
Lineage: Eukaryota; Dinophyceae; Peridiniales; Kryptoperidiniaceae
Description: partial Bacterial large subunit ribosomal RNA
Rfam family: Bacterial large subunit ribosomal RNA
Source: RNAcentral
UCUUUGAAGCCGGCCUGUAAGGGAUCCGGUGGAGAGAUCACUAGUGAGAAUGAUGACAUGAGUAGCGACAAAGAGUGUGAGAGACACUCUCGCCGAAAGUCCAAGGGUUCCUGCUUAAAGCUAAUCUGAGCAGGGUAAGCCGACCCCUAAGGCGAGGCCGAAAGGCGUAGUCGAUGGGAACCACGUUAAUAUUCGUGGGCCUGAUGGUAGUGACGGAUUGCGAGUGUCGUUCGAUCUUAUUGGAUUGAUCGGGCGGCUUAGCGGUUCCAGGAAACAGCUCCAUCAUUAUAGACCGUACCCGAAACCGACACAGGUGGACUGG